RNAcentral lists this ribosomal RNA (459 nucleotides) under uncultured bacterium. RNAcentral's name for it is "partial 16S ribosomal RNA". It matches the Rfam family "Bacterial small subunit ribosomal RNA", at positions 338 to 795 of the family's 1533-position model. The record is from RNAcentral.
CCUACGGGUGGCAGCAGUGAGGAAUAUUGGUCAAUGGCCGGAAGGCUGAACCAGCCAAGCCGCGUGAAGGACGAAGGUGCCAAGCAUUGUAAACUUCUUUUGUCAAGGGACAAAAUCAGGCUCGAGAGCCUGACCGAGGGUACUUGAAGAAAAAGCAUCGGCUAACUCCGUGCCAGCAGCCGCGGUAAUACAUAGGAUGCAAGCGUUAUCCGGAUUUACUGGGCGUAAAACGAGCGCAGGCGGGUUAACAAGUUUGGUAUGAAAGGCUUUUGCUUAACGAAAGUUUGUAUCAAAAACUGUUAAUCUAGAGUGUAGUAGAGAGUUCUGGAAUUCCAUGUGGAGCGGUGGAAUGCGUAGAUAUAUGGAAGAACACCAGUGGCGAAGGCGAGAACUUAGGCUAUCACUGACGCUUAGGCUCGAAAGUGUGGGGAGCAAAUAGGAUUAGAUACCCUUGUAGUC